Molecule: ribosomal RNA, 460 nt
Filed under: uncultured bacterium
Lineage: Bacteria
Description: partial 16S ribosomal RNA
Rfam family: Bacterial small subunit ribosomal RNA
Source: RNAcentral
CCUACGGGAGGCAGCAGUGAGGAAUAUUGGUCAAUGGGCGGAAGCCUGAACCAGCCAAGUCGCGUGAGGGAUUAAGGCCCUGCGGGUCGUAAACCUCUUUUGCCGGGGAGCAGUGGUCCGGACGCGUCCGGCCCGGGAGAGUACCCGGAGAAAAAGCAUCGGCUAACUCCGUGCCAGCAGCCGCGUUACUACGGAGGAUGCGAGCGUUAUCCGGAUUUAUUGGGUUUAAAGGGUGCGCAGGCGGAAGAUCAAGUCAGCGGUAAAAUUGAGAGGCUCAACCUCUUCGAGCCGUUGAAACUGGUUGUCUUGAGUGAGUGAGAAGUAUGCGGAAUGCGUGGUGUAGCGGUGAAAUGCAUAGAUAUCACGCAGAACUCCGAUUGCGAAGGCAGCAUACCGGCGCUCAACUGACGCUCAUGCACGAAAGUGUGGGUAUCGAACAGGAUUAGAUACCCGAGUAGUC